This 1492-nucleotide unclassified non-coding RNA is filed under the name Homarus americanus (American lobster). RNAcentral describes it as "swi5-dependent recombination DNA repair protein 1 homolog, transcript variant X3". Lineage: Eukaryota; Metazoa; Arthropoda; Malacostraca; Decapoda; Nephropidae. The record is from RNAcentral.
UAUCCUCUUCACCACUAGCCGUCCGGGUGAUGGGUCACACACUGUUGGCAGUACUGGGCUGUACCAGCUCCUGAACCAGCUCCAGUGUUGGUCAAGUCUUGUCACACUCGGUGCCGUCACAACACUCUCUGGUAGAUUGUUCCAACAGUUUACAACUCGCACUCAGUAAAAGUUUGUCCCUCACAGUUUUCUGGCCUUGACCUGUGACCCCUUGUGGGGCGAGCGUCCACCAGCUCCAAAAUCACCAAUGCUGUGCACUGUGCUUCUAUGAGUCAAGAGAAUAGAGAUAAGAAAUAAGGUCACAGAAUCUGGUUUCCUGUUAUGAGUUAAUAGCCUCAAUAACAGAAAAUAUAUUAGGGAGAUUUAAAAGAACUUGAGACUCUAGGCAAAAACGUGGUAGGAGCUCCAUAGAUAUUAAUUUAUUUACCAUCAACAACAAUGCCACCAGAAAAACCCCCCACCAACUCGCAAACACCGGACAGGAAGAAAGACGAAUCGACAUUCAAGACGCCUAACAAGACCCCAAGCAAGGACUUAGACACGAACACCAAAAUCCACCAAUCACAGAGAAGAGUGAGAGAGAAACAAGAGAUCCUGAGGAAAUUAAAGCUCGUCAAGAUGUAUCGGACUAAGUGGGAGACGCAGUCGUUGGACAAGGUUACGACCCGGUGGUUACGAGCUUGUCAGGAAGCAUUGGAGGAUCUCAGAGUGAAAGUUAGAGAGAGGAAUAUAAUUGACACUGGAGAGGUGGAACUAACUCUUCGAUCCCUAGUCGGUCAUCUUGGUAUCGAUCCACAGGUUGUUCAGUUGGAUCAGACAGAGGAUUGUUUCGACACUUCCAACCGUGACAAAGGUUUUAUAGGUUUUCCAGACCAGGAGACACCCGGUAACUGAGUGUGGAUACGUCGGAGUAGAACACAGAGCCGUGAACUGAAUCGCAGAGGGGACAUACAUAACACACUGCAAAUCGAACGACAGUAUGUAUAGCAUCAGCUCUGGAUGUAAGAGUGAAUAAUAAGAGACUGGAAAUUGAUCGAUAGGUUAGGUUAGGUUAGGUUAGGUUGGGAGAUGAGUGUCGGAGAGUUGAAUGGAAAGUUGACUAGGAUUUGAUAGGUUGAGAUGGAUAGAUGGAAAUAGGGAAGCAAGACUAAAAUAAGAAGAAAUGGAAGAAAAUUUUUAAAAUAAUCAUCAUAAGAAUUUCAGAUGAAUUAUUAUACAUGAUUUUGAAUGAUAUCUGCCCACCCAUAGUCUAUACUGGGUAUCACUGUAUGUAUGUAUGUAUGUCUGUCUCAAUAAAAACACACAGGAAAAGGGAAACGUAUGUAAUGAUGUAAUGUAUGUAUGUAUGUAUGUAUAUAUGUAUGUAUGUAUGUAUGUAUGUAUGUAUGUAUAGGGCUUUAAACACACACAAUGACAAACAUGGAUAAAGAAAGUUGAAUCAAUAAAUAUAUGUAUAAGUUUACUGAAUUUUCAAAUAAAAAAAUUAUAAUUA